RNAcentral lists this ribosomal RNA (326 nucleotides) under uncultured eukaryote. Its description in RNAcentral is "partial 18S ribosomal RNA". It matches the Rfam family "Eukaryotic small subunit ribosomal RNA", at positions 1470 to 1796 of the family's 1831-position model. The record is from RNAcentral.
CCCUUAGAUGUUCUGGGCCGCACGCGCGUUACAAUGAAUCGUUCAACAGGUUUCUUCCUGAGUCGAAAGGCUUGGGUAGUCCUUUAAAUACGGUUCGUGCUAGGGAUAGAUUUUUGCAAUUAUUAAUCUUGAACGAGGAAUAUUUAGUAAACGCAGGUCAUCAGCCUGCAUUGAUUACGUCCCUGCCCUUUGUACACACCGCCCGUCGCACCAACCGAUUGGAUGUUUUGUUGAAAUAUGUGAAUGCUUGUUGGAUGAAUUUAUUUUUGCUUGAUAGACAGAAACGUAUUAAAACUGAAUAUCUAGAGGAUGGUGAAGUCGUAACA